CCUACGGGAGGCAGCAGUGGAGAAUAUUGCACAAUGGGGGAAACCCUGAUGCAGCCAUGCCGCGUGUGUGAAGAAGGCCUUCGGGUUGUAAAGCACUUUCAGUGGUGAGGAAGGACGUAAGAUUAAUACUCUUGCAUAUUGACGUUAGCCACAGAAGAAGCACCGGCUAACUCCGUGCCAGCAGCCGCGGUAAU
Molecule: ribosomal RNA, 194 nt
Filed under: uncultured bacterium
Lineage: Bacteria
Description: partial 16S ribosomal RNA
Rfam family: Bacterial small subunit ribosomal RNA
Source: RNAcentral